GAAGCACUGGUGUGAAUAAUGCAUGAGAGAGAAUCCCGCCUGCGCUGGCCUCCAGCGUCUCCGGGGGACUGGUUGCUGGGCAGGGCACCACAGGGCAGGGGGGAUCAAAGCAUUUGUUUUGCUCCUGCUUCAGAGAACAGGCUGCCUGCAAAUUACAGGUCGCCCCUCGGGCUGCCUGGGGGCAGAGAGGGAUGAAAAGAGAUGAAGGCUCGGACCAGCAUUCUGGAAUGCAAAUCUGGUGUCUAAUCGCAUCCUCACCAAAUGGCGAAGAUCACAACGUUGGAACUAGCUUGGGCUCAGAUCCAGUCUGCCCUUGAUCGUCUGGUGUAUCUAAUAUCUCUGGGCUCCUGUUUCCUGCUCCUAAAGUGGAACCAACAACACUGCUUGACCAGGGCUGUUAGAAAGCCAAGACCACGAAUGAGAAAUGUUGACCACCGUGACCACACACAGCUGGCGCUGUGCAGACAGGAGUGCCUCCCUUCUCAGAGCUCCACCUUCCCCUCUGCAAGGGAAUGAAUCUCCAAUCAUUUUACCCUGAUGGGCCCCAUCUACUGCCUGCCUCACAAUGACUAAGAAAACACAAAUAUAGAAGAAAAAAUACAUUCAUGAAAUGAACACAGCAUGCGGAAUCAAAGAUCUCGACCUAUGAGAAAACGUAACUCAGAAAAGGGAAGGGAAUGUGUCAUCAGGGUUUCAUGCUAUAGAAUGACUUGAUAGGAAUAUGAAUUUAAAAUGUAAAAGUUCAAACAAAAAAUAAUAAAACAACAGCAGGAGAUGAAAAAGAAAAUUUAGACGUAGGGUCCCAGUAGGAAACAGAAGCACACUGAUGGGAUUUAAUUACAGGGCGAGGGAUGUCACCCGAGUGCUGGUGACAGCAGGGAGCUGUGCCAGCCCCAGGCCCGCAAGGGCAGGCAAAGAGCCGGUGUCAUCAGGAGCAUGAAAGAAGGGCCCACCCGCCGUGGAGGACGCUGAGAGAGAUGGGCUGUGAGCUGGGUGCUGGCUGCCUUGAAUGAAACUGAGGUUUACAGCUGAGAGUGAAGAGGAGGAUGUGAAUUGGGUAAACACAACAAUCCCUGCCACAAAUAGGCAACCUUUCCUCACUCUGCAAGUGCUGAGCACAUUGUGAAGGAUGAGGGGAAGGAGAAGAAAAGAAAGACGAAAGUGACGUAGAUGCCAAUAUUUAAAGAUUUGCAGUCUGAUAUGGAGACAAAUAUGUAAUCAAUGGGUUUCUCAGGGUCUCUGCUGCCCUCAUUAAAGUGUGUCUAAGGAUUGAUGUACACACACUAUUGUAUUUACAACAGAUAACCAACAAAGACCUGCUGUAGAGCACAGGGAACUCUGCUCAAUAUUCUGUAAUAACCUAAAGGGGAAAAGAAUUUGAAAAAGAAUAGAUGUAUGUAUAUAUAGACAUAUAUAUAUCAGAGAAGGCGAUGGCACCCCACUCCAGUAUGCUUGCCUGGAAACUCCCAUGGACGGAGGAGCCUGGUGGACUGCAGUCCAUGGGGUCGUGAACAGUCGGAUAUGACUGAGCGACUUCACUUUCACUUUUCACUUUCACGCAUUGGAGAAGGAACUGGCAACCCACUCCAGUGUUCUUGCCUGGAGAAUCCCAGGGCUGGGGGAGCCUGGUGGGCUGCUGUCCAUGGUGUCGCACAGAGUCGGACACGACUGAAG
Long non-coding RNA from Capra hircus (goat), 1674 nucleotides. NCBI's taxonomy places the organism in Eukaryota, Metazoa, Chordata, Mammalia, Artiodactyla, Bovidae. The record is from Ensembl.